GCUGGGCAUGGUGGCCCAUGCCUAAAAUCCCAGCUACUUAGGAGGCUGAGGCAGGAGGAUUGCUUGAGUCCAGGAGGUUGAGGCUGCAGUGUGCCAUUAUUGUGCCACUGUACUUUAGCCUGGGUGACAGAACAAGACCCUGUCUCAA
RNAcentral lists this small RNA (148 nucleotides) under Callithrix jacchus (white-tufted-ear marmoset). RNAcentral describes it as "Metazoan signal recognition particle RNA (ENSCJAG00000071548.1)". Lineage: Eukaryota; Metazoa; Chordata; Mammalia; Primates; Cebidae. The record is from Rfam by way of RNAcentral.